CAGCCGUCUGGCCCCAGACAAUUCAGUGUUAGCCAGCAGAGCAUACGUAUCACAUUCUAUUUCACUCCAUAGACAGCUGCUCUGAAUAAUUAUUUAUUCGUUUUCAAGUGUAUCCGGUACCUGAUCCCUGGUUUCUGUGAUCUACAGGUAGUCACCAAGAAAUUACUUUGCAUCAUAUACGGCUCAACUGCUAAUUCUUGAACGCUACACAAGUUAAAGUAUAUACGCACGAAUCUCAGCGAUCAUCCUCGUCCUUAGACGGAACCUCACACAGUAAAAAGACCUUCGUGAGCCUCGUCGUGGUAACCACCACCAGCAAGAUGGUUCUGGAGCACGUCUACGCCUCCUGCAGCUACGAUGUUGACCCUCACGCCAGGAAGGCCACUUACAAGGCCAUGGAGACAUGCGGUUACGUGCAACAAGCCCAGCAGACCAGCGCCGUCAGGAGCAAGAGCACGGGGCAGACCAAGACCAAGAAGGCCAAGAACCAAACAGAUGUGUGGGGGCCCGUAUACCAGGACAAACAACAUUUUGUUGAUAUGCACAUCUGCUAGGGUCCCCUAGCCUAGGGCCCCUAGCCUAGGUAGUCCUAGUUACUCAGCUCUGCUAGUCCUACCUAACAUAUGUGCCUAUAGGUAUGCACAUAUGUUAGCUGGUUCAAAACAUGCUGGUAUCAAUACUGUGUAUUGAAUUUAUUAUUAAUACUAAGGGAAAUAUUAUAUGUUAGAAUUUAGUACAGUAUAUACUAAAUAUUCCGUAUUCAUGAAAUUAAUUUUAUCUAUAAUUAAUUUCAUCUUUAUAUUAAUUUAUAAAAGAAUCAUGACAUUACUGAAUAAGUAUUACAUACAGUAUUCUAUAAUAUUGUUUCCCAUAUUUCACAUUACGUAGAUCUCACGUAUAUACGAAUUAUCAUAUAAUUUUAUAAUAAACUAUUUAUUUAUA
Procambarus clarkii (red swamp crayfish) is the source of this 942-nucleotide long non-coding RNA. RefSeq lists it as uncharacterized. NCBI's taxonomy places the organism in Eukaryota, Metazoa, Arthropoda, Malacostraca, Decapoda, Cambaridae. The record is from RefSeq and is a predicted model, not a curated record.